This 550-nucleotide ribosomal RNA is filed under the name uncultured Glomeromycotina. Its description in RNAcentral is "SSU rRNA". It matches the Rfam family "Eukaryotic small subunit ribosomal RNA", at positions 548 to 1098 of the family's 1831-position model. Lineage: Eukaryota; Fungi; Glomeromycota. The record is from RNAcentral.
UUGGAGGGCAGUCUGGUGCCAGCAGCCGCGUGUAAUUCCAGCUCCAAUAGCGUAUAUUAAGUUGUUGCAGUUAAAAAGCUCGUAGUUGAACUUCGGGGUCUACCCAUUGGUCAGGCUUAAUUGUCUGUACUGGUGAGAUGGAUCUCUACCUUCUGAGGAACUUUCAUGCCAUUUAUUUGGUGUGAUGGGAAAUCAGGACUGUUACUUUGAAAAAAUUAGAGUGUUUAAAGCAGACUAUCGUCUGAAUACAUUAGCAUGGAAUAAUGAAAUAGGACGGACUGAUUCUAUUUCGUUGGUUUCUAGGAUCACCGUAAUGAUUAAUAGGGAUAGUUGGGGGCAUUAGUAUUCAAUUGUCAGAGGUGAAAUUCUUGGAUUUAUUGAAGACUAACUACUGCGAAAGCAUUUGCCAAGGAUGUUUUCAUUAAUCAAGAACGAAAGUUAGGGGAUCGAAGACGAUCAGAUACCGUCGUAGUCUUAACCAUAAACUAUGCCGACUAGGGAUCGGACGAAGUUAAUUUUAUAAUGACUCAUUCGGCGCCUUACGAGAAAC